Molecule: long non-coding RNA, 370 nt
Organism: Triticum aestivum (bread wheat)
Lineage: Eukaryota; Viridiplantae; Streptophyta; Magnoliopsida; Poales; Poaceae
Exons: 3
Source: RefSeq, a predicted model, not a curated record
GCCGCGGAUUUCAGUAACCCUCGGAAGACGGCGUAGUCACCAUGGACGUGCUCCGGAAGAGCAGCCACCGUGACGGUUCUAUAUACAAGCGCACGCAUGCGUGGAAGGAAAUCUAUCGCAUCGCGGAUCGUAACGACGCAUGGUUGGAGGCAAUGGCGUUAACAGAUCCCGCGGGCUGCCUCAUUGACAUUGGCAGUGGAUAUUGCCAAUACAGUUGUAUGGAUACAUAGCAGUGCGAGAUCAUUUGGACCUAUUGCUUAAUUACGUCGUCAAUUUCAGUAGAGAUGAUCCCAUCAACGUGGAACAGGUGUGUAUCAUAAUUAUCUGUAAAUUUUUAAGCCUACCUUACCCCAUGUAUUGUGUUUGUUCU